Molecule: ribosomal RNA, 248 nt
Filed under: uncultured bacterium
Lineage: Bacteria
Description: partial 16S ribosomal RNA
Rfam family: Bacterial small subunit ribosomal RNA
Source: RNAcentral
AUACGGAGGGUGCAAGCGUUAAUCGGAAUUACUGGGCGUAAAGCGCGCGUAGGCGGAAGCCUAAGUCAGGAGUGAAAUCCCCCCGGCUUAACCGGGGAAUAGCUUUUGAUACUGGGUUUCUUGAGUUCAGGAGAGGGUGGCGGAAUUCCAGGUGUAGGAGUGAAAUCCGUAGAGAUCUGGAGGAACAUCAGUGGCGAAGGCGGCCACCUGGACUGAUACUGACGCUGAGGUGCGAAAGCGUGGGGAGC